This 253-nucleotide ribosomal RNA is filed under the name uncultured bacterium. Its description in RNAcentral is "partial 16S ribosomal RNA". It matches the Rfam family "Bacterial small subunit ribosomal RNA", at positions 524 to 776 of the family's 1533-position model. The record is from RNAcentral.
GACGGAGGGUGCUAGCGUUGUUCGGAAUUACUGGGCGUAAAGGGCGCGUAGGCGGCUUCGUAAGUCAAAGGUGAAAUCCCUCGGCUCAACUGAGGAACUGCCUUUGAAACUGCGAGGCUUGAGGCCGGGAGGGGGUAGCGGAAUUCCCAGUGUAGCGGUGAAAUGCGUAGAUAUUGGGAGGAACACCAGUGGCGAAGGCGGCUACCUGGACCGGUUCUGACGCUGAGGCGCGAAAGCGUGGGUAGCAAACAGG